This is a microRNA precursor of Oryza sativa Indica Group (long-grained rice), 209 nucleotides long. It matches the Rfam family "MIR812 microRNA precursor family". NCBI's taxonomy places the organism in Eukaryota, Viridiplantae, Streptophyta, Magnoliopsida, Poales, Poaceae. The record is from Rfam.
AAUAAGUGCAGUUUUACCUUGGUCAUGUCCAAUAUUUGACCGUUCAUCUUAUUUGAAAUUAUUUUAUGAUCAGUAUUUUCAUUGUUAUUAGCUGAUAAAACAUGAAUAAUACCUUAUGUGUGACUAAUUUUUUUAAAAAAAUAUUAUAAAAUUUUUAAAUAAGAUGGACGGUCAAACGUUGGACACGGAUAUCCACGACUGCACUUAUU